Molecule: non-coding RNA, 1008 nt
Organism: Danio rerio (zebrafish)
Lineage: Eukaryota; Metazoa; Chordata; Actinopteri; Cypriniformes; Danionidae
Source: RefSeq, a predicted model, not a curated record
UUAUGUAUUAAUUUAUUAUUUAGCAUUUAUUUUUCCAACUAUGGGAGUAAAUGGGUGGUGAGAUCGGUUUAGUGACAAAAUAUAUUCCCUUGUUUUCAGCAGAACAAAUAAACGUAUAUGGAUUUGGAACAACCCGAGGGCAGAAUUUUUAUUUUUAUAGUUUAUUUGGUGUGUUUUAAUACACUUUGAAGGUUGUUCUAACCCAACAUUGGGUAAAAUGUGGACAAACCCAACCAUUGGUGUUAAAUAAUCAAUUUUAAAGAAAUUUCUCCAUGCAUUUACUCUCUUUUUGUUUAUUUAAUACAGAUUUUUCCAUAUAUGGGAGUAAAUGGGUGGUGAAAUCUGUUUGGUAAUCAAAUAUCUUCCUUUGUUUUUAGCAGAACAAAUAAAUUUGUGAAUUCACAACAAUUUGACGGGCAGAAUUAAAUGGUUAUAGUUUGUUUGGUGUGUUUUAAUACACUCUAAAAAAAUGCUAUGGGUUGUCGUAACCCAACAUUGGGUCAAAUGUGGACAAAGUCAACCAUUGAGGUUAAAUAAUUCAUUUUGAAGAGAUUUCUCCAUGCGUUUACUCUCUUUUUAUUUAAUUAAUAUUUAUUUAUUUUUCCAAUUAUGGGAGUAAAUUAAUAGUGCGAUCAGUUUGGUAACCAAAUAUCUAUUUUUGCAAUUGAAAGUAGUCUUAAAUUAGUAUAUCUUUUCUACAUUAAUCUGUUUUACUUUCUCUUGGAUUAUAGCCCUUCCAGGUCUGUUGUCACAGCAUAAGGAAAAUAAGGUCAAGCUUCCAAAGGAUCUUAUGCAACGCUAUCUGCUGAUUCCCUCCGGCCAAUCAGAGGCGAUGACUGGAGUUUUGUGAAAUGCGUCUGAUAAGAGGAAUCAUUUUUGGUGAAAGAAGCAGGCGCAGGUUUCCACAGACAUGCUGGGAUAGAUCUUCAAUAGCAUAUUCCUGCUGGAGUCCAGGAAGAGUACGGCCAGAGAGCUCAUCUUAUCCGGGACGCAGCACGGAUCCGGGAC